AUGAACGCUGGCGGCGUGCCUAAUACAUGCAAGUCGAGCGAACAGAUGAGGAGCUUGCUCCUCUGACGUUAGCGGCGGACGGGUGAGUAACACGUGGAUAACCUACCUAUAAGACUGGGAUAACUUCGGGAAACCGGAGCUAAUACCGGAUAAUAUAUUGAACCGCAUGGUUCAAUAGUGAAAGACGGUUUUGCUGUCACUUAUAGAUGGAUCCGCGCCGCAUUAGCUAGUUGGUAAGGUAACGGCUUACCAAGGCAACGAUGCGUAGCCGACCUGAGAGGGUGAUCGGCCACACUGGAACUGAGACACGGUCCAGACUCCUACGGGAGGCAGCAGUAGGGAAUCUUCCGCAAGGGGCGAAAGCCUGACGGAGCAACGCCGCGUGAGUGAUGAAGGUCUUCGGAUCGUAAAACUCUGUUAUUAGGGAAGAACAAAUGUGUAAGUAACUAUGCACGUCUUGACGGUACCUAAUCAGAAAGCCACGGCUAACUACGUGC
Molecule: ribosomal RNA, 497 nt
Filed under: uncultured bacterium
Lineage: Bacteria
Description: partial 16S ribosomal RNA
Rfam family: Bacterial small subunit ribosomal RNA
Source: RNAcentral